ACACCUCCCAAAAUGCAGAGAAGGCAGGGUGGCUAGGAAUGGCUCUAGUAGAAUUCUCCCCUUAUCUUGUCUGGAAACAAGGGGCAAAGAGCUAUCUAUUUCCUCCUGCCAGCCUCCUGCCCCCAACAGGAUUCCUCACAUCCCAGGACCAGCUGGAAAAGGUGGUGAGAGUUGGAAAGAGACUGCUCAGUGAGGACUGCCCUGCGAACCAGCUUGGAUUCAUCCCGUUCACCUCCACGUUCUGCACUCGGGGCCGAGGGAAGGGAGGCAGCCCAGGCAGCUAGAGAACUUGAUGAAACACACUCAAUCUGAAUCUCGCUUGAUCGUCAUGCUGACCCAGUGAGGCCUCUCCAGCCCCUGCUGGGACCACUGGCCCAGGAGGAAGUCUGGGCUCUGGCUGCCACCUGCUUCCUCUCAGGAGUUCUUCUCCCUCCCAAGCAUGGAUUUGCAUUUCCCCCUCUGCCUUCUGCUACUCAAGCCCCCAGGGAUGAGGUGACAGUUAACCCCCCACUUCCUGCUAGUGGCCCCAGAGCGCUCACUUCCUUCCAGUCUACUCAG
Homo sapiens (human) is the source of this 558-nucleotide long non-coding RNA. Ensembl annotates it as TSPOAP1, SUPT4H1 and RNF43 antisense RNA 1. Its record names the gene TSPOAP1-AS1. The record is from Ensembl. NCBI's taxonomy places the organism in Eukaryota, Metazoa, Chordata, Mammalia, Primates, Hominidae.